AACAAAGAGUUCAUCAAAUGGCUUUAGAAGACGAAGAGUGGGCUUGUUGACUGGUCCACCCCGAGGGAGGUGUUUAGCAUCAACAGUGUGAGCAAAAUCGAACUCGCCUCGCAGUUUUUCAGCUAGCGUUAAAUAGUUCUCGAAUUUCUCUCCGGAGGGGUCUGGAAAUAUACCAACAACAAAGAUACUUUUCUCAUCAAUAAGGUUUGUGGCAUCUUCCUUCGACUUGAUUUCAGCAGAUGCAGGACCCACUUGUUUCUUCAAGUAGGAUACAAUACCAGCUGCUUCACGAGGACCGUUAUAGUCUUGAACUUUCUUUCCUCCAUCUCUCAAUAUCUUAAUAGUUGGGAAACCCUGGAUCUCGUACUGUUUUGAAAGUUCUCUAUUGGCUUCAUCAUUUGCAUCAUACUUAGCUAGAACAAUUGGAGGGUCAUGACUACUCAGCUCUGAGGCAGCUUUUUCAUACUCAGGAGCAAGACUCUUACAGUGUCCACACCAAGGUGCAUAGAAUUCAACAACAAUGAAGUUGUGCUUAGCAACAGUCUCAGUGAGGUUAGAAUGGUCCAAAGUCAACACAUAUUCGUUCUCCUCAGCAAAAACACCACAAACUGCAAGAACAACAAGAGCUGAAACAAUUACCAAAAUGCCACUCUUUGCCAUUUUUG
This 665-nucleotide unclassified non-coding RNA is filed under the name Hevea brasiliensis (rubber tree). The record is from RNAcentral. Lineage: Eukaryota; Viridiplantae; Streptophyta; Magnoliopsida; Malpighiales; Euphorbiaceae.